GAGUUUGAUCCUGGCUCAGGACGAACGCUGGCGGCGUGCUUAACACAUGCAAGUCGAGCGAAAGGAUUCCCUUCGGGGAUGAAUUUAGCGGCGGACGGGUGAGUAACACGUGGGCAACCUGCCUUAUAGAGGGGGAUAGCCUUCCGAAAGGAAGAUUAAUACCGCAUAACAUCAUUUUACCGCAUGGUAGUUUGAUCAAAGGAGCAAUCCGCUAUAAGAUGGGCCCGCGGCGCAUUAGCUAGUUGGUGAGGUAACGGCUCACCAAGGCGACGAUGCGUAGCCGAUCUGAGAGGGUGAUCGGCCACAUUGGGACUGAGACACGGCCCAGACUCCUACGGGAGGCAGCAGUAGGGAAUCUUCCACAAUGGGCGC
RNAcentral lists this ribosomal RNA (372 nucleotides) under bacterium enrichment culture clone CH443. RNAcentral describes it as "bacterial SSU rRNA". It matches the Rfam family "Bacterial small subunit ribosomal RNA", at positions 9 to 378 of the family's 1533-position model. The record is from RNAcentral.